AGUAACACUCUGGGAGGGCUCAGGCCACAUCACGAAAUGUGACAGGAUAGCCUUGAACUCAUCAAUUGCUGGGUAAGAAAGAAUUUUAAUGCAAUGGCAAACAACCAAUCAAACAAGCAAACAAAAACAAUAAACCCUUCCUUGAGGACCAAGAAGACAUUGAUUAGCUAACCUAAGAGCUCCAGGUGGAGACCUAGGUCCUGAUUGGGUUUCUGAAUUUGACCACUAGGCAGAAAACUAGCACCCAAAACCAGUUGGAAUAAAAUUACCCACCUACAGUGGAGCCAAGGCCCCCAGAUCCUUUUUGUCAGCAAGGUAAGCUGUCAUCAGUUGGAGGUAAGCAGAAGACAGUAGAGAGUACAGAGCCCUGGACUGUGACUCAGAGGAUGAGCACCAGAUCCAGUUUGCUGUGCCACAGUGGGCCUGUGAUAUUUUGAAGCAGGAAGCUGACCUGAGACCUUCAGAAUAAACUGAUCACUGUGGAUAAUGAAAAGGCCCCACCCAGGACAUUGAUUGAGCACCCCUGCCUGUCUCAUUCCUUCUUCUCUUUCUUUUUAUUAUGUGCUUACCAUAAUAAAAAUUUUUAUUGUCUU
This 593-nucleotide long non-coding RNA is filed under the name Homo sapiens (human). RNAcentral's name for it is "long intergenic non-protein coding RNA 1193". The record is from RNAcentral. Lineage: Eukaryota; Metazoa; Chordata; Mammalia; Primates; Hominidae.